AACUUCUUUUUGAAUACAUUUUUGAACGGCAAAUAACUUCUAGUUUCCGAAAAUAUACGGGUUUCGCGAUUUUUCUUGUUUAUUUUGUGUAUUUUUGUUUGUUUUAUGACUUGGUGCUGUACAGUGUAUUUUAGGUCUGGAAAAGGUGUAAGUUGGCAGCACUUUUUUACUGUUCCUGGCUCACAACUAUUUGAGGUUAUGUUUUGAUCUCACAAAAAACAUGACAACAAAUACGUGCUCGCAAAAGUUGGAUUUCUAAAAGUAAGUACUUACGAGUUUUACUACUUUGAAGUUGGGUUCAUCAAAUGUCCGGCCCGUUACGCAAAAAGAUGGUUUUCUUUUAUUUGCUUGCUUAUUUUUGCAUAUUUAAAUGCGAAUUUUUGGAUUCACUUUGUUCUGAUAACUCAGGUUCUCCUCAAUUUUUUUUUCAAUUUUUAUAUCUUGUGAGAUGUUGAAAACAACAUAUUUAAAAUGUGUCCAUCCCGUUACGUAACGGGCCGGACAAGUAUUGAACUUCGCUAUUUAUGGGCACAGUGGGUUCUAAUUUUCAGGAUUGUGAAAGGGCUAUAUUAGAAACAUCAGAAGAACCUUAUUAGACCUAGGAGGUACUUAAAAACCUCAAAAUGUUCACUUUCUUGGAUUUUAAAGCAAUUUUGUUGUUUCAGGUUUUAAAAAAUGGACAUUUUUGCAAACCGGAUGCAGAAGCACCGCAGAAAAUUGAAAGAGGACCCAGCUGCCUAUAAAGCCCACCUGGCUAAAGAAAGGCUGAGAGACAAGAUUAGGAAACAGCGAAGAAGAGAAUAUUUAAAAAAUCAUCCAUCAGAUGCGGAGGCUGUUAAGAAGAAAGAUGCAGAACGGAAGCGCCGCAAAAGAGCAGAACAGAAAACGUGCAGCCUACUUGGUUCUUGGUCUCAUAGAAAUAAUAUUUUCUUGGUCUCAUAGAAAUAAUAUUUUGUUAAUGGUCUCACAGAGACAAUUUUAAGUACAAACUUUUUCAUUUCUUUUCACUAAAUUUAAUUUUAUAUUGUCUUUUGGUUUUUCUGCACCAAGUGCAAAAUACUAGGAACACUGUAAAAGGUCCAUUUCUUAGUUUAUUUUUUCGUUCUUGUUUACUUUAGUUUUAAGAAAGCUGCAUUGUGUUCUCUCUUUUUGACUAUUUUUUAAGUCAUUUUCUAGGCGAGUCAGAGAAUUCAAAGCUAAGAAUAUUGACACAUGCUCAAACCAAACUUUUGGUGCUUCCUUGCCUUUGUUUGCUAUUAGUCAUUUUUUGUUUGUUUGUUUUUUGGUUUGUUUUUUUGUUUUUUGUUUGUUUGUUUUGUUUGUUUUGAUACUCACACCGUGCCAUUGAAGUAUUACUAUUAUUAUUAUUAUUUUUGGUACUAGUUACUAUUUAUUUUUCCUCGAGCUUUUGUUUCUUUAUUAUUAUUUUCUUUGAUGUUUCUGCCAGUAAAACAUUAAUAAAGUUCAAAUUUUGAUUUAAAAGAAA
Non-coding RNA from Bemisia tabaci, 1486 nucleotides. The record is from RefSeq and is a predicted model, not a curated record. Lineage: Eukaryota; Metazoa; Arthropoda; Insecta; Hemiptera; Aleyrodidae.